UACGGAAGGCAGCAGUGGGGAAUAUUGCACAAUGGGCGCAAGCCUGAUGCAGCCAUGCCGCGUGUAUGAAGAAGGCCUUAGGGUUGUAAAGUACUUUUCAUCGGGGAGGAAAAACAAAACUAAUAAUUUUAUUUUCUUUGACGUUACCCGAAAAAGAAGCACCGGCUAACUCCGUGCCAGCAGCCGCGGUAAUACGGAGGGUGCUAGCGUUAAUCAGAAUUACUGGGCGUAAAGAGCACGUAGGUGGUUUUUUUAAGUUCAGAUGUGAAAUCCCUGGGCUUAACCUGGAACUGCAUUUUGAAACUGAAAUACUAGAGUAUCGUAGAGGGAGGUAGAAUUCUAGGUGUAGCGGUGAAAUGCGUAGAUAUCUGGAGGAAUACCUGUGGCGAAAGCGGCCUCCUAAACGAAUACUGACACUGAGGUGCGAAAGCGUGGGGAGCAAACGAGGGAUUAGAUACC
Molecule: ribosomal RNA, 459 nt
Filed under: uncultured bacterium
Lineage: Bacteria
Description: bacterial SSU rRNA
Rfam family: Bacterial small subunit ribosomal RNA
Source: RNAcentral